RNAcentral lists this ribosomal RNA (301 nucleotides) under uncultured bacterium. Its description in RNAcentral is "partial 16S ribosomal RNA". It matches the Rfam family "Bacterial small subunit ribosomal RNA", at positions 509 to 808 of the family's 1533-position model. The record is from RNAcentral.
CAGUCGCCGCGGUAAUACGGAGGAUCCAAGCGUUAUCCGGAAUCAUUGGGUUUAGAGGGUCCGUAGGCGGUUUAGUAAGUCAGUGGUGAAAGCCCAUCGCUCAACGGUGGAACGGCCAUUGAUACUGCUGAACUUGGAUAUUAGGAAGUAACUAGAAUAUGUAGUGUAGCGGUGAAAUGCUUAGAGAUUACAUGGAAUACCAAUUGCGAAGGCAGGUUACUACUAAUUGAUUGACGCUGAUGGACGAAAGCGUGGGGAGCGAACAGGAUUAGAUACCCCAGUAGUCCCUGUCUCUUAUACA